Molecule: ribosomal RNA, 497 nt
Filed under: uncultured bacterium
Lineage: Bacteria
Description: partial 16S ribosomal RNA
Rfam family: Bacterial small subunit ribosomal RNA
Source: RNAcentral
GAUGAACGCUGGCGGCGUGCCUAAUACAUGCAAGUCGAGCGAACAGAUGAGGAGCUUGCUCCUCUGACGUUAGCGGCGGACGGGUGAGUAACACGUGGAUAACCUACCUAUAAGACUGGGAUAACUUCGGGAAACCGGAGCUAAUACCGGAUAAUAUAUUGAACCGCAUGGUUCAAUAGUGAAAGACGGUUUUGCUGUCACUUAUAGAUGGAUCCGCGCCGCAUUAGCUAGUUGGUAAGGUAACGGCUUACCAAGGCAACGAUGCGUAGCCGACCUGAGAGGGUGAUCGGCCACACUGGAACUGAGACACGGUCCAGACUCCUACGGGAGGCAGCAGUAGGGAAUCUUCCGCAAUGGGCGAAAGCCUGACGGAGCAACGCCGCGCGAGUGAUGAAGGUCUUCGGAUCGUAAAACUCUGUUAUUAGGGAAGAACAAAUGUGUAAGUAACUAUGCACGUCUUGACGGUACCUAAUCGGAAAGCCACGGCUAACUACGUG